GAUGAACGCUAGCGGCAGGCUUAAUACAUGCAAGUCGAGGGGCAGCACGGUUAGCAAUAACUGGUGGCGACCGGCGCACGGGUGCGUAACACGUAUACAAUCUACCUUAAACAGGGGAUAGCCUUUCGAAAGAGAGAUUAAUACCCCGUAAUAAAUUGAACGGCAUCGUUUGAUUUUGAAAGCUCCGGCGGUUUGAGAUGAGUAUGCGUCUGAUUAGCUAGUUGGUGAGGUAACGGCUCACCAAGGCGACGAUCAGUAGGGGAUCUGAGAGGACUAACCCCCCACACUGGUACUGAGACACGGACCAGACUCCUACGGGAGGCAGCAGUAAGGAAUAUUGGUCAAUGGAGGCAACUCUGAACCAGCCAUGCCGCGUGCAGGAUGACGGCCCUAUGGGUUGUAAACUGCUUUUAUACAAGAGAAAACCCUGGUACGUGUACCGAGGUUGAUAGUAUUGUAAGAAUAAGCAUCGGACUAACUUCGUGCCAG
Molecule: ribosomal RNA, 489 nt
Filed under: uncultured bacterium
Lineage: Bacteria
Description: bacterial SSU rRNA
Rfam family: Bacterial small subunit ribosomal RNA
Source: RNAcentral